CUUGCAUCUGUAAUCAUAGGGAAGAGUCUAAUUUCUCUUUGCCCCUAGGCACUGAUCCUAAUUGAGAUAUUCUUUUGUCUGUGAAACCUCUUUCCCAAUACAGAUGCCACUGAAAGUUAUAUUCUUAGACCUGGAUUACAUACUCUGGUGGUUCAUAAUGCUUAUCUCUAAUUCAAGGUGAGUAUCGUGAUGCCGGGAUGCAGGUGGCGCUGUGGGCUAAACCACAGAGCCUAGGACUUGCCGAUCAGAAGGUUGGUGGUUUGAAUCCCCGCGACGGGGUGAGCUCCCGUUGCUCGGUCCCUGCUCCUGCCCACCUAGCAGUUCGAAAGCACGUCAAAAGUGCAAGUAGAUAAAUAGGUACCACUCCGGCGGGAAGGUAAACGGUGUUUCCGUGCACUGCUCUGGUUCACCAGAAGCGGCUCAGUCAUGCCGUCCACAUGACCUGGAAGCUGUACGAUGGCUCCCUCGGCCAAUAAAGUGAGAUGAGCGCCGCAACCCCAGAGUCGGCCACGACUGGACCUAAUGGUCAGGGGUCCCUUUACCUUUACCUUUACCGUGAUGCCACCUCAGAUUUUAAUCAGCUUACUCAACUUCGUCCUCUUCCUUUUUCUCUUUCCAACCCACCAAAGCGUCAUCUCCCUUACCUCUGCUGUUGCACAAGUAACCUGUUCCAGAGUGCUGAGGAAUCUCUGCUGAGCAACAUUGGAGAUUUUCUGGAGAGGGCGAAGGAUCUAAUAGGGCGGCUUUGCGCUGACAGUCAAAUGCAACUCGUUGAAAUAUGCACCAUGCAUGCAAAUCGCUUUCAUGCCUCUGCAUCCCACAAUACAGCUGGGUGUCGCCUGUUUCCUGGCAAACACCUGUUCCUAUUCUAAAAUGGC
This is a non-coding RNA of Podarcis lilfordi (Lilford's wall lizard), 878 nucleotides long. The record is from the annotation of a GenBank genome assembly. Lineage: Eukaryota; Metazoa; Chordata; Lepidosauria; Squamata; Lacertidae.